UUCUGCUUUCAUUUUCAUUUUCUUUUUCUGCCAAUAUUAGCAGGGAAAGUUUAAUAUUUAUACAUGUAUUAAUACAGACUUUGCUACUCUCUUCAAAGUUGCUAAGAAUACAAAUGUGGAGUUGGAAAUAAGUAAAAUAUGUCUCUUUUAAAGUAGCUCAGAGUAAGUCAUUUGUGUUUGCAGGAGCAGCAGCUCCAGGGCCUAGAACUGUAAGUGACAGAGUCUCUCUAAGUGUCUUUGCCUUAAAGGGGUCUGUUGUUGUGAUUUGGUGCUAUAUUAUAGCUAUAGCUAUAUGAUAAUAAUAAAACUGAUUUGACCUUGGUAGUUUAUUGAAAUUAGCCUUCACAUUUUCUUCUGUUAAUAACUGUUGAAGAAGUAAUAUCUUUUUUUUCUUCUGUUUUUCUUUCUUUGUGGGGGAAGCAGACCAGAAGGCUCAAAGGGUCGUCAUUUAUCAAGCCCAUGACGAUCCCCUGCCCCGUAAAGAAGGCUGACCCAGUAGCCAAGAACAGCUGGCAGAUGGGCUGUUGCCAAUAACACAAGAGCAGAAAAACAAAUUUUAAGUACCUAUCCAGUAGUAGCACCCAGAUUUUCAGUGUAAUGGUGUUUUGCAUUGCACUGCUGUUUUGAUGCAGCUUUCUGUCUUAAAUUAUUUUGGAAGUGAUAGCAGAGACGUACAUUUUAAUUUUUUCAGAAAUCUCUCAGAGCGUGGUAUAUCAUGUUUAGGUGUAAACUAGCGAGCUAACUUCCUGCUAACUUCACAAGGCUCCUGACUACUGUAGCCGCAAUGCUCUGACAAUCCAUCAAGCGGUGCGGCUUCGUAGCUCACCAAAGUCGAACUAAGACAUUUUUUUGAGUGCCAUGCACCACAUAAAAUCGGUUCGAGGUGAGUAAGCACAACCAGAAAUCAUACAUAAGGCGCACUGAUUUAUAAGGCGCACUGUCGAUUUUUCAGAAAAUUAAAGAAUUUUAAGUGCGCCUUAUAGUCCGAAAAAUACGGUACUCGUAUGACUAUGCAUGUGACCAAUUAAGAAUCCUGACUCUUCAUCCUUUUCGAGCUUCUCGAGUGAUGUUGCUAUCACUUGGUAUGGCUGUAUCUCUCACUUCUUCCUCUGCUUGUCCACCACUGCUAUAUUUGGUGGGUUAGCCAUUACCAGUUUUUCCAUCUGCAUCUGGAAGUCCCACAGUAUCUUAGCUAAGUGAUUAUAAAAAUCAGGACUCCUCAAGAUUUGUUAAAACAGAUUUAACAAGACUUUAAAAGUUGUGAAAGCGCUUGCUCAUAGGGGGUCAAUCACAGCAAAACACUGGCAGCAAAACAAACCAAAAUAAAAGCAAAAUAAAAAGAGCUGUUUCUGUUGUACAGUUCAAUGUCUAUAAUGUCUAUAGACAAUGUCUAUAAUCUCCACAGUGUAUUUGAUUUUUAAAGAACCAAGAGGGAAUUUUAGUCCUGUCCUCUUUGGGGCUGAUCUAGGACUAGGAUUCGGGCAUUUGGUGCCAUCAGGGUCGACACUCUCUCAGUUACCUGCA
Oreochromis aureus is the source of this 1524-nucleotide long non-coding RNA. RefSeq lists it as uncharacterized. Lineage: Eukaryota; Metazoa; Chordata; Actinopteri; Cichliformes; Cichlidae. The transcript has 3 exons. The record is from RefSeq and is a predicted model, not a curated record.